Molecule: ribosomal RNA, 537 nt
Filed under: uncultured bacterium
Lineage: Bacteria
Description: bacterial SSU rRNA
Rfam family: Bacterial small subunit ribosomal RNA
Source: RNAcentral
AGGGGAGGCAGCAGUAGGGAAUAUUAGUCAAUGGAUGCAAGUUUGAACCAGCCAUGCCGCGUGCAGGAAGAAGGCCUUCUGGCUUGUAAACUGCUUUUGCCGGGGGAUAAAAAUUCCAUGCGUGGAGCAUUGAAGGUACCCGGUGAAUAAGCCACGGCUAACUACGUGCCAGCAGCCGCGGUAAUAUGUAGGUGGCAAGCGUUGUCCGGAUUUAUUGGGUUUAAAGGGUGCGUAGGCGGCCUAUUAAGUCAGUUCUGAAAUAUCCCGGCUUAACCGGGAGGGUGGGAUUGAUACUGAUGGGCUUGAGUGGAAUCGACGUAGGCGGAAUUGACGGUGUAGCGGUGAAAUGCUUAGAUAUCGUCAAGAACACCGAUAGUGUAGGCAGCUUACUAGACUUCAACUGACGCUGAGGCACGAAAGUGUGGGGAUCAAACAGGAUUAGAUACCCUGGUCGUCCACCCUGUAAACGUUAAUUACUCGCUGUGUGCGAUAUACAGUACGCGGUUUAGCGAAAUCGAUAAGUAAUCCACCUGGAGA